RNAcentral lists this ribosomal RNA (497 nucleotides) under uncultured bacterium. RNAcentral's name for it is "partial 16S ribosomal RNA". It matches the Rfam family "Bacterial small subunit ribosomal RNA", at positions 28 to 507 of the family's 1533-position model. The record is from RNAcentral.
GAUGAACGCUGGCGGCGUGCCUAAUACAUGCAAGUCGAGCGAACAGACGAGGAGCUUGCUCCUCUGACGUUAGCGGCGGACGGGUGAGUAACACGUGGAUAACCUACCUAUAAGACUGGGAUAACUUCGGGAAACCGGAGCUAAUACCGGAUAAUAUAUUGAACCGCAUGGUUCAAUAGUGAAAGACGGUUUUGCUGUCACUUAUAGAUGGAUCCGCGCCGCAUUAGCUAGUUGGUAAGGUAACGGCUUACCAAGGCAACGAUGCGUAGCCGACGUGGGGGGGUGAUCGGCGACCCUGGAACUGAGACACGGUCCAGGCUCCUACGGGAGGCAGCAGUAGGGAAUCUUCCGCAAUGGGCGAGAGCCUGACGGAGCAACGCCGCGUGAGUGAUGAAGGUCUUCGGAUCGUAAAACUCUGUUAUUAGGGAAGAACAAAUGUGUAAGUAACUAUGCACGUCUUGACGGUACCUAAUCAGAAAGCAACGGCUAACUACGUG